This 567-nucleotide unclassified non-coding RNA is filed under the name Hevea brasiliensis (rubber tree). Lineage: Eukaryota; Viridiplantae; Streptophyta; Magnoliopsida; Malpighiales; Euphorbiaceae. The record is from RNAcentral.
GUGCUCUUCCCCACUCUUGGGGAAAGGCUUCCAGAGUAACUCCUCCUUGAGCUUCUUUUUGAUGCAGGAGAAAUGCUGUGUGAGUAGCUCCUCCUUGAGCCCCUUCUUCGGCUAGGUGAAAUGGUGCUUGAGUAGCUCCUCCUUGAGCUUCUCCUUGUCCUCUGUGGGCUAGGACUCCAGGAAAUCGAGCGAUAACGAUGUCUUCUAUAGUAACGAUCAUCUGGUGAAUAAUAUCUAGAAUCAUAAGGAGAGUGUGAAUGAUCAUGCCUACUUACAGGGUACCUACUGUAAGGAGACCUGGAGUACGAUCUGCGCCUGCUAUAGUAGUAGGGAGAAUGUGAUCUGCGUCGACGGUAAUAAGGAGAGUUGGAUCGGCGCCUGCUGUAGUGAGGAGAAUAUGACCUGCUCCUACUGCGUUCAGAUGAAUAAUAAGGUGACUGACUCCUGCUCCUCUGAUAAGGAGAGUAGCUGGGUGAUCGACGAGGAGAAUAACUAGGUGUCCAGCGUCGAACACGAAUAGUUCUCAGCCCCAAAUACUUUCCAGGAGUAGGAGUUCGUCCUCUCCGC